Molecule: ribosomal RNA, 497 nt
Filed under: uncultured bacterium
Lineage: Bacteria
Description: partial 16S ribosomal RNA
Rfam family: Bacterial small subunit ribosomal RNA
Source: RNAcentral
GAUGAACGCUGGCGGCGUGCCUAAUACAUGCAAGUCGAGCGAACAGACGAGGAGCUUGCUCCUCUGACGUUAGCGGCGGACGGGUGAGUAACACGUGGAUAACCUACCUAUAAGACUGGGAUAACUUCGGGAAACCGGAGCUAAUACCGGAUAAUAUAUUGAACCGCAUGGUUCAAUAGUGAAAGACGGUUUUGCUGUCACUUAUAGAUGGAUCCGCGCCGCAUUAGCUAGUUGGUAAGGUAACGGCUUACCAAGUCAACGAUGCGUAGCCGACCUGAGAGGGUGAUCGGCCACACUGGAACUGAGACACGGUCCAGACUCCUACGGGAGGCAGCAGUAGGGAAUCUUCCGCAAAGGGCGAAAGCCUGACGGAGCAACGCCGCGUGAGUGAUGAAGGUCUUCGGAUCGUAAAACUCUGUUAUUAGGGAAGAACAAAUGUGUAAGUAACUAUGCACGUCUUGACGGUACCUAAUCAGAAAGCCACGGCUAACUACGUG